Molecule: ribosomal RNA, 609 nt
Filed under: uncultured bacterium
Lineage: Bacteria
Description: bacterial SSU rRNA
Rfam family: Bacterial small subunit ribosomal RNA
Source: RNAcentral
CCUACGGGAGGCAGCAGUAAGGAAUAUUGGACAAUGCUCGCAAGAGUGAUCCAGCCAUGCCGCGUGCAGGAAGAAUGCCCUAUGGGUAGUAAACUGCUUUUGAACUAGAGAAAACCCCAGUACGUGUACUGGGCUGAUAGUAUAGUUAGAAUAAGCAUCGGCUAACUUCGUGCCAGCAGCCGCGGUAAGACGAAGGAUGCAAGCGUUAUCCGGAUUCAUUGGGUUUAAAGGGAGCGUAGGUGGACUGAUAAGUCAGUGGUGAAAUCUCCGAGCUUAACUCGGAAAUUGCCAUUGAUACUGUUGGUCUUGAGUACAGUUGCUGUGGGCGGAAUAUGACAUGUAGUGGUGAAAUACAUAGAGAUGUCAUAGAACACCGAUUGCGAAGGCAGCUCACAAAGCUGUAACUGACACUGAGGCUCGAAAGUGCGGGGAUCAAACAGGAUUAGAUACCCUGGUAGUCCGCACCGUAAACGAUGAUUACUCGCUGCUAGGGGGCAACCUUUAGUGGCUUAGCGAAAGCGAUAAGUAAUCCACCUGGGGAGUACGCCGGCAACGGUUGAAACGUCAAAGGAUUGACGGNNGAGAGNGCGAGGACGACACGAGGGAGAG